UACAGGGGGGGCAAGCGUUGUUCGGAAUUACUGGGCGUAAAGGGUUCGUAGGUGGCCACCUAAGUCAGACGUGAAAUCCCUCAGCUUAACUGGGGAACUGCGUCUGAUACUGGAUGGCUGGAGUGUGGGAGAGGGAUGCGGAAUUCCAGGUGUAGCGGUGAAAUGCGUAGAUAUCUGGAGGAACACCGGUGGCGAAGGCGGCAUCCUGGACCAUUACUGACACUGAAAAGCGAAAGCCAGGGGAGCAAACGGG
RNAcentral lists this ribosomal RNA (253 nucleotides) under uncultured bacterium. RNAcentral describes it as "partial 16S ribosomal RNA". It matches the Rfam family "Bacterial small subunit ribosomal RNA", at positions 524 to 776 of the family's 1533-position model. The record is from RNAcentral.